UUUCCCUCAGGAUAGCUGGCACUCGCUUGAGCGAGUCUCAUCUGGUAAAGCGAAUGAUUAGAGGCCUUGGGGCCGAAACGACCUCAACCUAUUCUCAAACUUUAAAUGGGUGAGAUCUCUGGCUUGCUUGAACGUUGAAGCCACGAGAGCGCNUAUANUGCAAAAUGGAUCAGAGUGCCAAGUGGGCCAAUUUUGGUAAGCAGAACUGGCGCUGUGGGA
This 219-nucleotide ribosomal RNA is filed under the name Echthrodape sp. 1 D0255. Its description in RNAcentral is "partial 28S ribosomal RNA". It matches the Rfam family "Eukaryotic large subunit ribosomal RNA", at positions 967 to 1163 of the family's 3401-position model. Lineage: Eukaryota; Metazoa; Arthropoda; Insecta; Hymenoptera; Torymidae. The record is from RNAcentral.